GCAAAUUACCCAAUCCCGACACGGGGAGGUAGUGACAAUAAAUAACAAUACAGGCGCUCGAUAAGAGUCUUGUAAUUGGAAUGAGUACAAUUUAAACCCCUUAACGAGUAACAAUUGGAGGGCAAGUCUGGUGCCAGCAGCCGCGGUAAUUCCAGCUCCAAUAGCGUAUAUUAAAGUUGUUGCAGUUAAAAAGCUCGUAGUUGGAUCUAGGGACGCGCAUUUCAAGCGCCCGUGUCGUUGGGUCAAACCAGCGACUGCGUUGGCGUUGCGGGCUCGGUCCGUCGGUGCCACAAAGCAUCGGCGUGUCAACCGGCCCGCCCGUCCCCUCCUUCUGGAUUCCCGUUCCUGCUAUUGAGUUAGUGGGGACGUCACAGGGGGCCCAUCGUCGUCAGCAAUGCCGGCGGUGGGUCCCUGGGGCCCAGAUCGUUUACCGUGAAAAAAUUAGAGUGUUCAAAGCAGGCAGAUCCAAUUUUCUGCCACCGAAUACAUUAGCAUGGGAUAAUGGAAUAGGACCCUGUCCUCCUAUUUUCAGUUGGUUUUGGCAGCGCGAGGACUAGGGUAAUGAUUAAUAGGGAUAGUUGGGGGCAUUAAUAUUUAAUUGUCAGAGGUGAAAUUCUUGGAUUUAUGAAAGAUUAACUUCUGCGAAAGCAUCUGCCAAGGAUGUUUUCAUUAAUCAAGAACGAAAGUUAGGGGAUCGAAGACGAUCAGAUACCGUCGUAGUCUUAACCAUAAACGAUGCCGACCAGCGAUUAGGAGACGUUGAAUACAAAACACCACCAUCGGCGCGGUCGUCCUUGGCGUCUCGGUUUCGGCCGGGGCGCGGGGACGGCUUAGCCCGGUGGCACCGGUGAAUGACUCCCCUAGCAGCUUGUGAGAAAUCAUAAGUCUUUGGGUUCCGGGGGGAGUAUGGUCGCAAGGCUGAAACUUAAAGGAAUUGACGGAAGGGCACCACCAGGAGUGGAGCCUGCGGCUUAAUUUGACUCAACACGGGGAAACUUACCAGGUCCGGACAUAGUAAGGAUUGACAGAUUGAGCAGGGCCCGGGUCCGUGUGGGCGGUAGGGUUCGGCGUCCGUGCUUCUUAGAGGGACUGCUGCGCGCNUAGCCAGCGGAAGUUNGAGGCAAUAACAGGUCUGUGAUGCCCUUAGAUGUUCUGGGCCGCACGCGCGCUNCACUGAUUAAUCCAACGAGUCCGCUUCAAUCGAGGCGCGNNUCCGUUGGGGUCAAACCCAACUGCGUCGCUGUCCUCGAUCGCGCCUGGGCCGAUAGGUCCGGGUAAUCUUUGCAAAUUUAAUCGUGCUGGGGAUAGAUCAUUGUAAUUAUUGAUCUUCAACGAGGAAUUCCUAGUAAGCGCGAGUCAUCAGCUCGCGUUGAUUACGUCCCUGCCCUUUGUACACACCGCCCGUCGCUCCUACCGAUUGAAUGGUCCGGUGAAAUCCUCGGAGCCGUGGCCUCUACGCAAUCCGGGCAACCGGGUUGUGAGGUCUCCCCUUUUGGCGGCGAAGUCGAUUGAACCUUACC
This 1520-nucleotide ribosomal RNA is filed under the name Acanthamoeba sp. Nl134. Its description in RNAcentral is "SSU rRNA". It matches the Rfam family "Eukaryotic small subunit ribosomal RNA", at positions 436 to 1770 of the family's 1831-position model. Lineage: Eukaryota; Discosea; Longamoebia; Acanthamoebidae. The record is from RNAcentral.